Molecule: unclassified non-coding RNA, 431 nt
Filed under: soil metagenome
Description: partial contains 5.8S ribosomal RNA, internal transcribed spacer 2, and large subunit ribosomal RNA
Rfam family: 5.8S ribosomal RNA (bases 1-120)
Source: RNAcentral
GAUGAAGAACGUAGUGAAAUGCGAUACGUAAUGUGAAUUGCAGAAUUCAGUGAAUCAUCGAAUCUUUGAACGCAUAUUGCGCUCUCUGGUAUUCCGGAGAGCAUGCUUGUUUGAGUAUCAGUAAACACCUCAACUCCCUUUUCUUUUUUGAAAUUGGAGCUGGACUUGAGUGAUCCCAACGCUUUCUUCCAAGAAAGUGGCGGGUUGCUUGAAAUGCAGGUGCAGCUGAACUUUUCUCUGAGCUAUAAGCAUAUCUAUUUAGUCUGCCUAAAAAACAGAUUAUUACCUUUGCUGCAGCUAACAUAAAGGAGACUAGUUCUUGUGCUGACUGAUGCAGGAUUCACAAAGACAGGCUUCGGCCGACUUUGUAAACUCGAUCUCAAAUCAAGUAAGACUACCCGCUGAACUUAAGCAUAUCAAUAAGCGGAGGA